Molecule: unclassified non-coding RNA, 336 nt
Filed under: soil metagenome
Description: partial contains 5.8S ribosomal RNA, internal transcribed spacer 2, and large subunit ribosomal RNA
Rfam family: 5.8S ribosomal RNA (bases 1-120)
Source: RNAcentral
GAUGAAGAACGUAGCGAAAUGCGAUAAGUAGUGUGAAUUGCAGAAUUCAGUGAAUCAUCGAAUCUUUGAACGCACAUUGCGCCCCUUGGUAUUCCAUGGGGCAUGCCUGUUCGAGCGUCAUUUGUACCUUCAAGCUUUGCUUGGUGUUGGGUGUUUGUCUCGCCUUUGCGUGUAGACUCGCCUUAAAACAAUUGGCAGCCGGCGUAUUGAUUUCGGAGCGCAGUACAUCUCGCGCUUUGCACUCAUAACGACGACGUCCAAAAGUACAUUUUUACACUCUUGACCUCGGAUCAGGUAGGGAUACCCGCUGAACUUAAGCAUAUCAAUAACGGAGGA